CCUACGGGGGCUGCAGUGGGGAAUAUUGGACAAUGGGCGAAAGCCUGAUCCAGCCAUGCCGCGUGUGUGAAGAAGGCCUUCGGGUUGUAAAGCACUUUCAGUGGGGAAGAAAGCCUUGGGGCUAAUACCCUCGAGGAAGGACAUCACCCACAGCAGAAGCACCGGCUAACUCCGUGCCAGCAGCCGCGGUAAUACGGAGGGUGCGAGCGUUAAUCGGAAUUACUGGGCGUAAAGCGCGCGUAGGCGGUCUGAUAAGCCGGUUGUGAAAGCCCCGGGCUCAACCUGGGAACGGCAUCCGGAACUGUCAGGCUAGAGUGCAGGAGAGGAAGGUAGAAUUCCCGGUGUAGCGGUGAAAUGCGUAGAGAUCGGGAGGAAUACCAGUGGCGAAGGCGGCCUUCUGGACUGACACUGACGCUGAGGUGCGAAAGCGUGGGUAGCAAACAGGAUUAGAUACCCCUGUAGUC
RNAcentral lists this ribosomal RNA (464 nucleotides) under Vreelandella stevensii. RNAcentral's name for it is "partial 16S ribosomal RNA". It matches the Rfam family "Bacterial small subunit ribosomal RNA", at positions 338 to 795 of the family's 1533-position model. Lineage: Bacteria; Pseudomonadati; Pseudomonadota; Gammaproteobacteria; Oceanospirillales; Halomonadaceae. The record is from RNAcentral.